RNAcentral lists this ribosomal RNA (496 nucleotides) under uncultured bacterium. RNAcentral's name for it is "bacterial SSU rRNA". It matches the Rfam family "Bacterial small subunit ribosomal RNA", at positions 30 to 521 of the family's 1533-position model. The record is from RNAcentral.
AUUGAACGCUGGCGGAAUGCUUUACACAUGCAAGUCGAACGGCAGCACGGGGCAACCUGGUGGCGAGUGGCGAACGGGUGAGUAAUACAUCGGAACGUGCCCAAUCGUGGGGGAUAACGUAGCGAAAGUUACGCUAAUACCGCAUACGAUCUACGGAUGAAAGCGGGGGAUCGCAAGACCUCGCGCGAGUGGAGCGGCCGAUGUCAGAUUAGGUAGUUGGUGGGGUAAAGGCUCACCAAGCCAACGAUCUGUAGCUGGUCUGAGAGGACGACCAGCCACACUGGAACUGAGACACGGUCCAGACUCCUACGGGAGGCAGCAGUGGGGAAUUUUGGACAAUGGGCGCAAGCCUGAUCCAGCCAUUCCGCGUGCAGGAUGAAGGCCUUCGGUUGUAACUAGCUUUGUACGGUAACGAAACGGACGAGCUCUAAUACAGUUUGCUAAUGACGGUACCGUAAGAAUAAGCACCGGCUAACUACGUGCCAGCAGCCGCGGU